This is a long non-coding RNA of Prunus dulcis (almond), 2127 nucleotides long. RefSeq lists it as uncharacterized. Lineage: Eukaryota; Viridiplantae; Streptophyta; Magnoliopsida; Rosales; Rosaceae. The transcript has 2 exons. The record is from RefSeq and is a predicted model, not a curated record.
CGACCACGUCACUGCAACCCCUCCUCCUCCUCCUCCUCCUCUUUUUUUCUUUUUCCUUCCAAAUGCUGCGACACACACGCCUCCAUCUCCACCUAUGGCGACACAAAUCGCAUCCCUGCUUCUACUUAAUGCGAGCUCUCCAGCAGCGGCAUCUCCCUCAACCACGACCUCGCUGUGGCUAUUGACAACUGAUGCGUGGCCUGGGCCACUAAAGGUGACAGUGUUGAUCUUGAUUUCUCCUUGCCCAGUUGGCUGGUAAGGAGUACAAUUUUACUGUUGCUUCUGGUUGCCCUUAUUUUCGUACUGACUAAGUUUGAUGUUUUUUCCUUUCAUGCUUUCUCUGUGUUCCAAUUUUGGCUUAUUGCUUAUGGUUGCUGUUGACUUGCUCUACAUCAUUUGUUUUAUCAGUUGGAGUGUUAAAUUUGGCAUUUCUAUUGUCAUGUUUCAAUUCAAGGAAAUUUAAAAAUGUUGUUUGGUGGUUUCUGCAACACACAGAAGAAUAAUAUGGAAUCUUAGAAAAAAUUGAUGGUUUGGUUUUGAUGGAGUGACUUUUCUUGACUUGAUGUGAUUUGCAUGAAGCAUUUUUACUCAUAGGAUUCUCUUCUUAAAAAUAUGGAUGACUUAGAUUAAAAAAUAAUGAGGCCCAUAAUAAUUAGUGCCAAAGAGAGAAUCUGAGUCCUAAAUUUCAAUUGUAGGCUACUGUAUGGAUAGUUGCUUUUUUUAUUUUUGUAUGAGUUGUUUCUGAUAUGGGCUUUGAUGAUUAGGUUUGACAUUCACAGUGAUGUCUUUGCCUCUGAUUAGGAUGCUUCCCUCCCCUCGGUUCAUCACCAUCAGGACCUUUGUAAACGCCAAGGUAAAAUGGGUUGGAGACCCAUACUUGGACUGUGCAGUUUAAAGACAGAAAUACCUUAAACGAUCCAUUUCCUUCAAGAACCAAAUGAUUUCCAACCCUUACAAGUCCCUUCCUCUCUCUGCAGCCACUUAACUUAAGCCCCACCUCAACCUCCCUACCACAUCCUCCAAAUUCUUUGAAAAAUACUCCUCAUUCUUCUCCAUAUUUCAGCCCUCCCCUGGUCUCCCACCUCAUCUUAAUCUCACCCCACAAACCCUCUCACUCCACAAAGUGGAGUCAACCAUUCAUACCUCAAUGUCUAACAAAUACAGUGCCAUUGAACGACUUGCUAAGCUUUUGAUGCUAGCCAGAGUGACUAAAUUGCCUAUGCACCUGAUUAACAGGUUGAAAUGGGAUCUGGGUCCUCCUCAUGAUAUUUUGGGUACCCUUGUUGAUGAUUUUUCUGAUUAUUCUGGGGCUUUUGAAGUUGAGGAUGUGGUAACUGGUAAAGUAGAGAUUGGUUUUGGUGUCUUGUUUGUUGGAGAAAGGAGCUUGCUUUCUCUCAAUUGGAAAGAAGGGCAUUAAUGGGUUAUGAUCAGUGCAAAAAUAUUGAAAGCACACUUGGAUUUUAAUAAUUUUGCCCAAAGGGUUUGAUUUGGAGAAGAGGGUGAAGGAUUAGGUUAAGGAAUGGCAGGGAUUGCCAUACAGUUCGCCAUAUGAAAAUGCAACCCAUCUUUCACCAAAUAGCGACCAGGCUGAGAACUAGAUGGUGGCGAGGUUCUUUGUCUUUUGGUUUCAAUGAAGACAGAGAGGGAAAAUUUGUUUGUUUUGGGAGAGCAUUUGGGGUUCGAAAGUCGAGGCAUAUAGGAAGGAUUUCUUGAUUGAGAAGCACCCAUUAAGAGUGAUAUGGAAGAACUAGUAGAGCAGACAAUGAGAAUGGCUCUUCAGAUGCUGCGUGUUAAGAUUAUAAUAUGUGACGAUAUGGAAAUAUGAGGGGAUUGAUGUGAUCUGUAUAAUUCUUAGGAGGCUUGGCAAAUGAGAAUUUUGAUUGAGAAGCUGAGUUAGUCUAUUUGGAGCUAAAUCCCUGCCUAAAAUGAAUUUAUGUGUUAUCUGGUUUGGAAUUCGAUGAUUGUAUUAAUUAGUGGUUUCUGCUAUUUGACAUGAUUUUGUUAAAUGCUUUGUCACCUUGAUAAUUUGAACCGUGCUUGAACAAAUGAAAUUGUGUUUAAAUGUCUGUGUAUGCUAAGGUUUGGAUUUUAUUAUAAGGAAUAAAAUUUCAGUUACCUCUUUUCGUA